This 21074-nucleotide long non-coding RNA is filed under the name Olea europaea (common olive). RNAcentral's name for it is "long non-coding RNA (OEUR_LNC009582)". The record is from RNAcentral. Lineage: Eukaryota; Viridiplantae; Streptophyta; Magnoliopsida; Lamiales; Oleaceae.
AGAAAUUGGUGAAAAAAAUAAUCUGACAACCAAUGGACAAGAAAACUGAGCACAUAAAAACCAAGCUGAAAGAAAACCUUUACAGCAGUUAGCAAGAUUUUAGUAAUCAAUUCAUCUUAAAUCAGUUGAAUAGAAAGUAUAGCUUCAUAACUCACAACGGCUCAAAAGUUCAAGUCUAUCCAAUACAUACUGGGCUAAUAAAAAAGGCUUAUGUAGUUCUCAUCAACCUCAUGAAUAUGCGAGUAGAAGAACUUCAAAAUGAAAACCAUCAGCUAACUCUUCCAGAAUCAGAAGUAGAUCCAUAUUUUCCUCUAGUAACCACUACCUGCAUCAAAUGAAGGCACUUAGUAUGCUAUAAAAGUAGCACUGUAUGGUACAACAUAAAAUGAUAAUGAGGAAUGAUUCUAAAGCUCAACUGCUAUACAGUAUACCUAAAUCAUUGCUCUAUCAAAAAACAAAAAGCCUGUUUUCCAAAGAUCAAAUAUAAAAAUGUGUCUGUUAAAACCAUUAUAAUAAGGAAUAAUUCUGAAGCUCAACAUGCUUCAGUAUACCUAAAUCAUUGCUCUAUCAAGAAACAAAAACCCGUUUUCCGAAGAUCAACAAAUGUAUAAAUGUGCGUUAAACCAGGAUAUUUUCCUCCAGGACCAGUGUUGAACUCCUCUUCUUCGUUCUUAGUCUGUCAAUAAAAAGCUUUGCGUAAGCAAAUCUAAGUCCAAAAGAAUUAAGAGCAAAAAAAAAAUUACAUGGAAUCAAAAUUAAAAAGGCAAAUUAAGAAUGAGAAGAUUCAUCAACCUUCAUAUAGAAAUGAGAAACUCAUGCGUCCAUGAUGCUAACAAAUGGAUGUUAGAAUCAAAUCAAAGUCUAUAAAAAUAAAUUGAAAGUUGAAAACAGGAACAAGCAGCCGCAUUAAAACCAAAGAGCAAAAAUAUAAAAAAUUUACAAUUGGAUUUUAUCAAGUGCCUAACUAUUAGAACUACCAUAAUUGACAGGAAAUCAAUUUGAUGUGUGCCAAGAAAUGUCACCAGUUCUGACAUGGUGCAUCUAGCGUAGCAGAUAGCAUGUGCCCACUAACAAAAAUAGCAGUGAAUAGGGAAAUAAGCAUUUGUGUUAGUCUCGUCAGCUAACGAAUUCUAAAAUGGUAUUCGUGCUUCAUCACUAACUGGGAAAAAACAAUACAUGAACAAGCAGCCCAGCAUUUAAAGCAUGAAUUUAUAUAUCAUCAUAGUUAUAGCAAGCCAAAUUUCGUAACUAAAAAUAUCUAAAGAACAGAAGAAAAGAAAAAGAGCAAGAUAAAUCUUACAGGAGCAUCCUCUUCCAUUGGCCUACUGCAAAUACAUGGAAACCAAAAAAAUAUCAGUAAUCACAGCCAAAUUAUAAGAAAAACAGCAAGAACUACAGAAACACCAAAAGAGUUGAUAAACUCCAGUCCCAGUUAGAAGUAAUCAAUAAUUUAUUCUCUUAUCGCCAAGCUGCAAAAAUUAAUUUGGACGUUUUACAUCAACCUCAAAAAGUGAACAUAAAAUAUCUAACAACCUAUCAAUUUCGAAAAUAAAGACUGAAAGUACCAAAAUUUUGGAACGCUCAUAACAAGUCACUGGAGUCCGAUAAAUUCAACCAAGGAUUUUACUUACAAACGAAAACCAAAAUCGUUUACAUUUAAAAUUAAAGCAAAGUUCCUGUUAACUGACCUCAUCUUCGAUUGGUUUCAAGAAUUCCAGAUCAACCAAAAAAACUGCAACAAGAACAACGAUAGCCUUAUUUUCGAGAGAGAAAAAAAAAAGGAAAAUACGGUUUAAAAAAGGAGAAAUCUUAGUAUAAUAAAUAAACAAAUGAACAUUCCGAACGCAUACCGAAGCAAGAGGAAAUCGAAAAGGAUGAAGAAAUGGAGAACUUACCAGUCGAGGUUUUACGUACUAGGGUUUUGGUGAAGUCCCAAUUCCUUCAAAAUUCAAAGGCUAGUUAGACAGGCUCUAGAACCGGAGACAAAAAUACCUAUAUUGACGCGAGACUAUUAAAGUUACGGUUAAUUUAUUUUAUGGUUUGUUAUUAUUUUUAAUUCACGUUCACAAAAUAAAAUAUUUUAUACAUUUUUCUGCUUUCUAAUCCUAUGUUGUUCUAAAAAUACUAUUUAAAACUCAUUUUCUCUCCAAUGAUUAAAGUGAAUCAAACAUGCACUAAAAUCGUGUGAGAAAAUUAUAAGGUAAAUUAUUUCAAGGUUUCCAAUCAUUCAUAAGGUGGUAGUCAUAGCUCAAAUCUUUCAUUUGUAGCAUUUAUUUCUUCAACCUUUUAACACUUACAAAACCCCCCAUCAACGAAAAUAUCUAUUUGAAUGUUAAAUGACUACAUGAUAGUAAGUAUAACUAAAACGGUAAAAUUUUUGAAAAAAAAAAUCUCUACUCCAUAAAUUAAAUAAUUGCGAUUGUUCAACUUAUAUAAAACUAUGCCUUUUUGAAUAAUUUCAACUUUUUAGGCACCAUGUGUUUGUCAUGUGAUCAUUUAACGUCUAAAAAAGAAUUUUUCUGUCAGAUGGGGAUGCCAAUAUGCACGAUGUUAAAAGGUUGGGACAAUUGGUGCUACAAAUAGAAGAUUGGGGAUGUGAAUAUAACACUUGUGAAAGAUUAGGGACUGAUAGCGACAUUUCCAGCAGCCCGAUCACAAAAUUAUCCCAACGACUAUUUUCGAUGAACUUAUAACUCCAACUAUGGAGUCCUCGAGCAUGUGGUGGCCUCAAGACAUUAUGCUCGACCACAUCCUGCAUGGCUGCUUCGCAUAUUGUAAUACUUGUCCUCGAGCAUCAGCAGUCUUCGAGCAUAUGCUCCCCUUAUAACCUACGAUUGUUGACCCUUUAGAAUUCCUACGCAAUUAGGACUCUAACUCAACCAUAUAUUUGGCUCCUGCAAGGAUUCUAUCCCACAUAUAAUUAUGGAAUUUGACCAAUUCCUUAACUAUUCAGGAUUCCAACAGAUAAGGACAUCCAGCUAGUUGAGUCUCACUAGGAGAAUGUCGCUUACUACUAUAAAUACAUACAGAACCUUGAUCCAUUAUUCAGGUACAUUUUUCAUUAUUCUCCAACAUAUAGCAUCACGCAUAUAAUUCCCUUUCUGACUUAAGCAUCGGAGGGGUGACGAGAACACACCUCGUUACUUUUGUUUCAGGUACCGGAAGACUACGAUCGUGAUCAACCUGAAUCAUCAAGCUCGGAAAAUCUGCAGGUACGAAUUUUGGUAGCAUCAUUGGCACCGUCUGUGGGAAACGCUACCAAAAGUCAUGGUUAACACGCGAUCAGGUCUUCCUCCUGCAAGCUCAUCCACUUCCAUCCAUCAUCCUGCCGAAGAUCAACCGGCUCCUCAUGAAGAAUCCUCGGGAGUGCCCACACCUCUGCCAGCAGUUAUUACAAUCGAAGCCUUUGAAGAGCUUCGUCAGUAGGUGGCCACCCUCACGCAACAGUUAAAUCAAAGAAAUUCACAUCCCUGGCCAGUGCAGGUGGAGCAUGGCGGUUUUAUGGCUGAUGCUCGAGCACGACCACCAAACCCAGCAAAUGGCGGAGUUGGAACCUCGAGCAUUCAUAAUAUGGCCUCAAGCUCGAGAUCGGUCGCCAUGAAUUCCAGUGAAAUUGUCUGGAUCAUUCAAGAAGGAAUUAUAGCUGGCCUGCAACGUAAUGCUCGGGGGCCAACAGGCUUCACCCCUAACACUCCAUUCACGCCAAAGAUAUUGACAUAUCCCUUGCCCGACAUAUUCAAGUAUCAUCGCAUUAAAGAGUAUGAUGGGACUACCGACCCCAUCAACCAUCUCAAUGUAUACACUGAUGUCAUGAACUUGCAAGUUGUGCCGAAUCAGUUUAUGUGCAAAGCCUUUCCACAAACGCUGACUAAUGCUGCAAAAUUGGUUCUCGACAUUGGAGCCCCACUCCAUAGCCUCAUUCUCAGAUUUGGCUGAUAAGUUCUCAGACUUCUUUGCAAGUAGCAAGCGAAUUAGGAAGACCGCGGCCUCUCUCAUGCAACUUCGCCAGGGACCAACCGAAACCCUGCGAGGAUUUAUGACAAGGUUCAACAAGGAAAGGCUUCAAAUACUCGACCUCCACAUCACAGCAGCUGUCUCUGUCCUCACUUACGCCAUAAGAUGUGAAGCUUUCAAGAUGUCUUUAUCAAAGACCCCGCCGCAGACAGUGACCGAGCUCCUCACCCAAGCUGAAAAAUACAUCAAUAUGGAAGAAACACUAAAUCCAAGGAGACCUGGUCCUUUUCAUGAAAAGACCGAGGACAAAAGGCAACAUGAUCCCGUCCCUAGGCAUGAGUUCCUCGGGAUAAGCGCAGGAACGAGGUGCCAUCAGCACCUCUCACUCGGUUGAACACGUUUAAGACAAACAUUUUGAUGGAAGUUAAGGAUAUGAAAGAAUUAAAGUGGUCUUCAAGGAUGAAGUUGCCCCUUGACACAAGAGAUAGGAGCAAGUAUUGCGAAUUUCACCGGGAUCAUGAGCAUACUACAGAGGACUAUCAUGCUUUACAGCGAGAAAUUGAAGCCCUUAUCAAAAGAGGAUUUUUAAAGAAUUACAUUGGUCAUGAUAAACGGCCAAGGAAUGACCUGGACAAUCGGAAAGAGCCUGGGGCUGGAAGCAGUGCUCAACCUACUGUCGGAACCAUUAAUAUUAUUGUUGGGGGCAUAGCAUCCGAUGGAGACACAAGUAGUGGGCGGAAGAAGUAUACCCGCCAACAUGCUCAUACCACAAGAGAAUCCAGUGAUGAAGUUAAAGACAUCACUUUUGGUGCAAGAGAUUUGGAAGGAAUAUCAUAUCCUCAUAACGAUGCCUUGGUCGUUUCUGCGGUUGUGGCUAACUUCGAAGUAAGGAGGAUUCUGGUUGAUAAUGGGAGUGCCGCAAACAUACUGUCGCAGGAGGCUUUCGCCAAAAUGGGAAUCUCUCCCAAGCAGCUCAAAGCAGUAAAAACUCCCCUACAAGGAUUUGGUGGUGGAAUCAUUAUCCCUGAACGCAUCGUCGAGCUCCCACUUACAUUAGGAGCUGGUAGUACACAAGUGACGGAGAUCACACCAUUCCAAGUGGUUAACACCCCAAUGGCCUACGACAUCGUUCUGGGAAGACCGCUACUGAACAAGAUCCAGGCUAUUGUGUCAACUUUUCACCUCGCCAUGGAGUUCCCGACAGGUCAUGGCAUCGGAGUAGUUCGAGGAGACCAAACGGCGGCUAGACAGUGCUAUGUUACAAGCAUCUGAGGCAUGAGUGCUGACGUCAUGCAACUCGUAGACCUCAAGCUCGAGCCAAGGGGUAGAUUGGCCCCCGUUGAGGAAUUAGAAGUGGUUGAGCUCGAGCACGGAAAAAUCGUUACUAUUGGUCGGGAUCUAAAGGCCAAUUUUCGGGAGGAAGUCAUUAGUUUUUUGUCUCGUAACAUUGAUGUUUUUGCAUGGAAGGUGGGGGAUAUGCCAGGGAUAGACCCAUAAGUAGCUGUCCAUAAACUUAAUAUCAGCCCAGGGGCCAAACCUGUUAAGCAAAGGAAGAGACAAUUUGCACCGGAAAGACAUGUGAUCAUUCAGGAAGUCGGCAAAUUGUUGGGGGCGGGGUUCAUAAGGGAAGUCCAAUACCCCGAUUGGCUCGCUAAUAUUGUUCUGGUAAAAAAGACCAGCGGUAAGUGGAGGGUCUGCAUUGACUUCACAUAUCUGAAUAAGGCAUGCCCAAAGGACAGCUACCCGCUACCUAGGAUCGAUAAUCUUGUGGAUAGCACAUCCGGACAUAAGCUGUACAGCUUCUUAGAUGCAUUCUCAGGAUAUCAUCAAAUCCUCAUGGCCAAAGAAGACCAAGAGAAGACUUCAUUCAUGGUUGAUUCAGCCAUAUAUUGCUAUAGGGUGAUGCCAUUUGGGUUGAAAAAUGCUGGGCACCAUAUCAGAGGCUCAUCAACAAAGUCUUCGCCGAUUUGAUAGGGAAGAACAUCGAGGCCUAUGUGGAUGACAUGGUUGUAAAAAGUAAGAAGGUGGAGGAACAUAUAUCCGACCUUGAGAAGGUGUUCGCCACCCUAAGAAAAUAUAAGAUGAAGCUCAACCCAGAGAAGUGUGUAUUUGGCGUAGCUUCAGGAAAGUUUCUAGGUUUCAUGAUCACUUAUCGGGGGAUUGAGGCUGACCCCGACAAAAUUCAGGCUCUAGCAGCAAUGGAAUCACCAAGGACCAAGAAAGAGGUUCAAAAGUUGACAGGCAGGGCUGCCUUAAAUAGGUUCAUGUCCUGAGCAGUAGACAGGUGCUUCCCCUUCUUCAAAACCCUCAGGGGUAAUCAUUACUUUGAAUGGAAUGAGGAGUGUGAGAAGGCUUUUCAAGAGCUCAAGCAGACAUUGGAAUCUCCUCCUAUCCUCACCAAACCCGAGCCUGGAGAUACUCUGUAUUUGUACUGAGCCGUAUCUCAGAAUGCAGUGAGUGGUGUCUUGAUGAAAGAGGUUAACAGGGGCAGCAACCCAUUUAUUACGUAAGCAAAGUCUUACUUGAUGCAGAAACAAGAUACACAUUGGCAGAGCAACUUGCCCUUGCACUGAUAGUAGCAUCACGAAAACUUCGGCAAUAUUUCCAGUCACAUCCUAUUAUUGUGCUUACCAAUCAGCCUCUAAAACACAUUCUUCAGAAACCAGACGUCUCAGGAAGAUUAUUAAGGUGGGCAAUUGAACUCGGAGAAUUUGACAUAGAGUUCAAGCCCCAUCCAUCUAUCAAAGGUCAGGCAUUAGCUGACUUCAUUGCAGAACUCACUCCAAGGCCUCGGGGGCCAGAUAGUAGCUCGAGCUUGAGCAUAACUGCGUGGGAAAUUUUCGUAGAUGGAGCAUCGAACUCCUCGAGCUCGGGCACAGGGGUCAUCAUCAUAAGUCCGGGCAUGCUCAUAAACAUUCAGUGUGCACUAAGGUUCGAAUUUGAGGCGACCAAUAAUGAAGUUGAGUAUGAGGCCGUCAUCAUAGCUAUGGAACUCGCCAUAAAUCUCGAGCUUGAAAAUAUCAAAAUUUAUAGUGAUUCCCAGUUGGUGGUUGAGCAAAUCGAAGGGACGUUCGAUAGAAAGGAUGAGAAGAUGAGCUUCUACUGCUUGAAAGUGCAUGAUCUCCAGAGAAAAUUCAAGAGUUGUGAAAUUGUAAAAAUUUCUCGGGUUGAGAAUUGUAGGGCAGAUGCCUUGUCAAGAUUGGUGUUCAUGGGAAUAAAUGGGCUUGAUGGGACAGUCCAUGUCAGAAUUGUAACUGAGUCAAGCAUCAAUCAGACUGUAGGCAUCAUGGAUAUUGAUAAUGAGCCAUCAUGGAUGGAUCCAAUAGUGGACUUCAUAAAACAUGGCAGUCUUCCAACAAAUCUUCGAGCAGCGAGAAGCAUCCGGUCCAAAGCUCCGAGGUAUUGCAUGAUUGAAGGUGUUUUAUUUCACAGGAGCCUCACACUUUCGUACCUCAGAUGCCUUAGGCCUUCCGAAUCAUCCCAGGCCCUAGAAGAAGUUCAUGAAGGUGUAUGAGGGAACCAUCAAGGAGCUCGGGCUUUAGCCUUCAAGCUCAUAAGGUAUGGAUAUUAUUGGCCAACCAUGAAGAAAGACGCCCAGGAAUAUGUCAAAAAGUGUGACAAGUGCCAAAGAUUUGGCAAUGUUAUCCACCCUCCCGCAGAAGACCUCAAUAGCAUUAGUUGCAUAGCCCCAUUUGAGCAGUGGGGAAUUGACAUCCUUGGUCCCUUUCCAAUAAGUAGGGGACAAUUGAAGUUUGUGGCUGUAGCUGUAGAGUAUUUCACUAAGUGGGUAGAGGCUGAACCUUUAGCAACAAUUUCAGAGCCGAAGUUAAGAAGUUUCAUUUGGAGAUCCAUCAUAUGCAGGUUCGGGAUAUCGAAAGUCCUCAUAAUUGAUAAUGACAGGCAGUUUGACAAUGCACAAUUUAAAAUCUUUUGUACCGACCUAGGUGUUGAUCACAGUUUGACGUCGGUUUCCCAUCCUCAAAGUAAUGGUUUCGCCGAAGUGACCAAUCGGAUUAUAUUGCAAGACCUCCGUACAAGGAUCGACGAUGCAAGAGGUUCCUGGUCUGACGAGUUGCCUUCCAUACUUUGGACGUAUAGAACGUCACACAAAAUUGCUACAGGGGAAACCCCCUUCAUGUUGGCUUUUAGAAUUGAGGCCACCAUCCCUGUUGAAGUCAGGUUGCCCAGCCAAAGGAGGCUCGAGCCCGAAGAUGCAGGGCGCACAACUGAACACCUCGACCUCUUGGAAGAAGUUCGUGAUUGGGCAGCUUUAAAAAUGGCCUCCUACCAGGAUAAAAUAGCAAAGUACUUCAAUAAAAAAGUAAGGACACAGAGAUUUAGAGCCAGAGACCUUGUGUUAAGAAGGGCUGAAACAGCAGGUCAUGCCCCGGGCAAGCUAGGACCAGUUUGGAAAGGGCCCUUCGAAGUCAUACGACAGCUCCAAGGAGGCACAUACAGUUUAAGGAAAGGCCGCUUCAAGACCAUGGAACGCAGAGAAUUUAAAGAUAUAUUACAAGUAACUUGGUCUUCCAGUUAUCGGUAGUCAGGCCUGCGUAUCAAGGUUCACGUUUUCACUUGUUAGGCCUGCGUGCCAAGGUUCACGUUUUUAGUUGUCAGGCUUGCGUGCCAAGUCUGUUUUUGAAGUAUAAUAAGAAUCAAGCAAUUCGUCAAAAUAUGAUCUAGCUACAAAAAGCCUUGUCUCGCGCAAGCAACUCAAGCUUUGCCUCGUGCAAGCAAUAAAAAAAAAACCUUGCCCCGUGCAAGCAACUAAAGCCUUGUCCCGCGCAAGCAACUCAAGCCUUGCCCCGCGCAAGCAAUCAAAAAAGCCUUGUCCCGCGCAAGUAACUCAAGUCUUGCCCCGCGCAAGCAAUCAAAAAAGCCUUGCCCCACGUAAACAACUAAAGACUUGCCCCGUGCAAGCAAUCAACAAGCCUUGCCCCGCGCAAGCAUGUCAAGUAACAUUCCCGAUCACACAGUGCCCGAUCAAUGGUAUGAGGGAUCUAUAAAAAGGCCAUUUGCAGUCCUCGGGAACACGCUAUAGGUCGGUACAAUUACGUCGUCAUGCAUGCUCGAGCUCGAUACAUAAUGUUCAUAAAUGAGUUUACAAAUUGAGUCCUCGAGAUAACUUUGUGUAUGCACGAGCUCAAUACAUAAUGUUCAUAAAUGAGUUUACAAAUUGAGUUCUCGAGAUAACUUGUCUACAUGCUCGAGUUCAACACUUGAUGUUCAAAAAUGAUUUUACAAAUUGAGUGCUUGAGAUAUUUAAUUAAUCUAGGCGUCAAGUUGUCAAUUCAUCUUAGGCGUCAAGUUAUUGAACCAUCUUAACGUCGAGCUAUUUGAGUUUGUCAUGAUCGAUACAUCAGCCAUACAUAAUCGCGCAAAAUGAAAAAUACUUGAUCGAGCAAAAUACCAUAAAUGGAACAUUAUCUAAGAUCGAGCAUAAUACUUAUUCAAAAUACAAAAAAAGGGGGGAUGUCAUCAUGAGAAAAAACAUAAACUAAUCUAGGUCCUCGGCUCUUUCUCCCGAGGCCGUGCUCCUCUGCUUUUCCGCCGCGUCCUCACCGUCAAUAUCGACCUCAUGGUCCCCGACGGUUUCCUCAGACUCUGAAAGCUCGAGGUCAUCAGCAACCUCAGGGAUGCUCUUUAAAUCCUCGGGUUUGGCGUCAGGCUUCGACCUCAAAAAUGCCCGAGCCUCUUUGAAAGCGUGGACGUAUGAGCCCAUGGCGUACUCUCCCUUAAGUCCGUUGAACUCCUCGGACAUUUUGAAAUCCUCGAUCGCAACCCCUCGAGCUUCAACCAGGCGAGUUUCGAAAUCAAUCUUCAAACGCUCGAUCUCGAGCUUUUCGAUCUCGCCCUUGGCAACUCCAGCCUCUUCCCGAGCUCUCUGGACGUCGUUCUUCGAGUCCUCGAGCUCCCUCUGGAGGAGGAAGCACUCAGCUUCCAAGUUGACUAUCCUCUUCUCAUGUGCUCGAGAAGUGUCCUCGAGCUCAGUAGUUUUUUGUGCCUCGUCUUUCCCCUUCAGAGAAAGGCCUCGGGCAAUGCUCAGAGCCUGCAUCAUAUAAACCCGAGCUUAAAGCAAUCACAUCGUAUAAACCCAUAAAUUACACCAAGUAAGUUGAGCGAGCUUACCUUCAAAGUGAGAGAUUCAAGAGCCUUCAUACCCUCAUCAAAACUGAGGUCCUUUCGAUACUUGUCCACGAUGCUGGACACCAGGGGACACCGGUCAGGAUCUUGAUUUUGGAAUGAGGGCAUAGAUGGGACCUCAUCCUUAAGAUCAACAACCUCGAGGGCACGCCUUAACCGAGGACGUGACCGAGGUGGGGCAGUUGGAGUCUCAUUGGCCUGUAUGGUCGAGGAUUGUCCCCUGGCAGAAGGUUUCCCUGGCCCAUUCCUAAUAUUCUCGGGGCCUGAAUCUCGAGCUCUCUUCUUCCCUCUCUUUUGACCUGGAGCUCGAGCUUGAGGGGCCUUCGAUUUUUUGGUCACGGCCUGCUUGAGGGCUGAAGGAUCAAAAGUCAUCUCUGCAAAAAACAAGUCAUUUACAUGAGCACAAUUAUACCUUCAAAGACAUAUCAGUAAGGAAGAAGGCAAAAAGAUGAUCCCUACGCUCAGUGCCUUUCACAUCCGCGAGAUCGAGAACGUCAUCCCCGAGGAUGUCAUCUAUAUCAUAUACAAGAGGCUCGAGGUUCUCUAACAUCAUCGUAUGCCUUUCUAAUGACUCAAAAUAGGCCUGACCUUCACAAAACCUGGGAGUAUUGGGCAAAACCCACCUAGGACUAAAAGGAAGGUCACUAUCCUGAGGUGUGACAUAAAACCACUUUUCUUUCCAUCCUUUCAAUGAACUGGGCAUCCUCGGUAAUCUAAAGCCUCCUCAGGAUGAAAGGUAAGCAAAACAGGUAUAUUGAGGUAACUGUUUCAAGUCGAAGACCAUUCUACAAAGAUCGACGUAUGGGUUAAUUCCUAGGUAUCUACAGGCUAUAAAAAAAAUAGGUGAGCAUCAUCCACCCAUUUGGCACAAGCUGUCUAGGGCUCAUGUUAUGGUCGACCAAUAAAGAUACAAAAAGGGAUGCAGAGGCCAUCUAAAUCCCCCCUUAAGUGAGUCCCUAAAAAUCACGAACUCUCCAUCCCGAGCAAAGGCCAUCCUAUCCUCUACCCCUGGCGUCCUAAUAUCACAUUUUGGCAUGAGCCCAUGUUUCCUAGCCGUCGAUAUUGCUAGAUGCUCUUUAAAUUUACCAGGAACCUCGGGGUACCUAAAUGGGGUCGGGAUACUUUGUGCUCGAGGUUCGGCAUUAAUUGGGACGGCCAUAGGUAUGAUCGAGCAUCCUAUGUCCUCGGAAAUACUCCUCGAGGAGGAGAACGAAGACUCAGUACUACUACUGCUAGACAUCCUGACCUAGGUAAAAAAGUGCCUAAAGAAUAACUUAAAAACUCGAGGUCUUACCUUAAAGUCGACGCCUAAAAACUCAAAGUUCUGAUCCCGACGAUUAGCAAGAGAAGUUUACUGAGAGUAAAAAGUGAAAAAUGAAAUGUGGAGAGGGUAUUUAUAGGCAACAGAAGCGGGUAGUCCAAAGGUCACUAUCCCGACCGUCAGAUCUGGCCACGUGUCCUACAUCCACCCCCUGCCAUUUUUUACCGUCUUUUCCUAUUUAGGGCUUACCUCAGUACACGUCAGCCCUUCUGAACACCUGUCAUCGAAAACAUCCUCGAGCUAAAUUCCCGACCUCUUAACACCUAUCAUUGAAAACAUCCUCGAGUUAAAUUCGCGACAUCUUAUUUCCAGUCUCUUUGCAUCAUAUCCUCGAGCGAAGGCUUCGAGCAUAUAUGCACGGGGGCCAAUGAUAGCGACAUUUCCAGCAGCUCGAUCACAAAAUUAUCUCGAUGACUAUUUUCGAUGAACUUAUAACUCCAACUAUGGAGUCCUCGAGCAUGUGGUGGCCUCGAGACAUUAUGCCCGACCACAUCCCGCCUGGCUGCUUCGCAUAUUGCAAUACUUGUCCUCGAGCAUAUGCUCCCCUCACAACCUACGAUUGUUGACCCUUUAGAAUUCCUACGCAAUUAGGACUCUAACUCAACCAUAUAUUUGACUCUUGCAAUGAUUCUAUCCCACAUAUAAUUAUGGAAUUGACCAACUCCUUAACUAUUCAGGACUCUAACAGAUAAGGACAUCCAGCUAGUUGAGUCCCACUAGGAGAAUGUCGCUUACUACUAUAAAUACAUACAGAACCUUGAGCCAUUAUUCAGGUACGUUUUUCAUUAUUCUCCAGCAUAUAGCAUCACGCAUAUAAUUCCCUUUCUGAUUUAAGUAUCGGAGGGGCGACGAGAACAUACCUCGUUGCCUUUGUUUUAGGUACUGGAAGACUACGAUCGUGAUCAACCCGAAUCAUCAAGCUCGGAAAAUCUGCAGGUACGAAUUUUGGUAGUAUCAGGGACCUUUAGAAGAAUUUACCCAAAUUUAUAUACCAAUUCUUCAAUUAGCAUAUAAGUUCUCAACGCUUGCCUGGAAAAGAACGUGUACACAAUAUGAAAAUUUUGGAUAUUGCAAAAAGAUAAGUAUGGUUUUAAGAAAAUAUUUAGCCCUUAUUGGAUUUUGAUUAUGGUGAAAAUAAGAUAUUAAUAAUUGAUAAACAAUUGAAUUAAGACUAGUCAGUAAAUGUCCCUUAAUUAAGAAUAAUGUUGGUCCUAAUGUAUCCAUCUAGGUGGCUAUUCUUUGUAUGUUCAACUAAAUGAGUCAUGCGACUUUGUAUUUAAAUAAAUUCAUAAUUUAAUGUCAUGUUAUAGUCAUCUAAACUGAUACUUAAUACCAGUUGUAGUAAUGAAUAACAUUACUCCAUAAUUAAACUCAUCUUUAUAGUGAAAUUGCAAUUCUACCAAAAGCUCAUGAAUAGGAAGAGCAAAAUUUGUUGAAAUCGAGAUUGUCCUUUGAUUUUUCACUACAUGCCAAAAACAAAUUUUCAAAUGGUGAGUUAACAUCUUAAAUAUUAGGACCAUGCUACAUAUAUCAAUUUUUUUUACCUAAUCUCUUACUGACUAUUCACAAUAAAGGGAUGGGGACCACAUUUUAGAAUUUUUUUUAUUCACGUGAAUCUAACGUGCAUGUGAGUGAGAGUAAACAAUUCGGUACACAUUUGAGUGUACAUAUAGAAUUAUUCUAAAUAUUAUGGAAUCGUACAUCAUCAUUUAUACGUUCUUUUACAAAUUAAUGAUGUGGCGAUAAAUUAAAUUAAACUGUAAAAAUCUCUUCAUCACUUAAACGAUUAUGCCUAUGUAAUGUGGGUUUAAAAAAAUAAAAAAUUGAUAAGAUUUUGACUUGAUCAAAUCUUACCACAUCAUCUGUUGGUUGAAUUGUGAUGGACAUGUAGCAUAAUUGAAGUAUUAUUAUUAGAACAAUACUAACAUUCUUUUAUUCAAGUCCUACUCUUCUUUAAAUUUCCUUACUCUUGAGAUUUGCCAACAAAAUAUGAAAGUUCAGAUCUUAGAUUUCUACAUAAUACUCAAUUCAUGUGUUUCCAACGCUAAAACUGACGUCAAAUCUGUAAAACAAUAGACAUUUCAACCAAAAUUAAAGAUAGAAAAACGUGUUAAUUACAAAUGUUACUUUAAUAAAUUCAGAGGAGUUAGUAUAUAAAAGUAUAAAUGAGAAAAAGUAAUUUACUCAGUGGAGUCCGUAUAUAAAAAGUUACUAACAUUCGAGUAACUUUUAAGCUUAGCCAAACAUACAAUUCAGAAUAGAACAUCUUUCAAAACCACAAAACACAAUAAGACAUUAUCAAUCUCAACUAGAAAAUUAGUAGACAUUGAGAGAUGCCAGAACCUUUACAAUACAUUGAACUCCAGACGAUUAAAAAAUAUAGGCUUUCUGAUUUCAACCUUACACUGCAACUUAAAAUAAUUCGGUUCACAAAUGAGUACCAUAUUAUGUAAAGAGACACAGAUUUUGCUCUCAAUGAGAACUAAAAAGAGACUGAAAAUCCAAUUGUGUGGAUUUCAUUAGAAAAUGGAAAAUACUAUACAGAUAUAAUCUUCUCUUAUUGUUUAAACAUAUGGCUAACAGAACCCAAAUGAACUGCUUCCAGACGAGACAAACAAACGUAAAAAAAAGGGACACGAACUGGCUUAAUAAUGGUACAACUAUGGUCAGACUUCUUUUUGCUCCACAACUAAUGUGAGAAAACAGAGCCCCAUUUCAGUAACGAAAAAGCUACAGACCUGAAUGGACAGUAGGAUACAAAAGAAAAUGACGUCUCAAUUCCCAUUUUACUUUUCAUCUACUAUCUCCUUAGGCUGCAGAACCGGUACAAGCUGUGACCGGAACAUCACUUUGUUGUUUCACAGAACUGUAUUUCUGAGUGAUGAAUCUGAAACCAGAAAACAGGAAAAUCUGCGCAGAUUCCUAAGAGUUGCAAUCCAUAUUUAACAUACAAGCAGGAAUGUUAAAAGGGAUGGGAAGGCCGGCUGGCUAAGAUAAAUAUAUAGAUUUCUUAAGGAAUGCAAGGGCAUUGGCCUCUCCAUUAAGAUAAACGAAAAAUAUCCGUCAGCCCUAAAGUAUGCUUGGCCACAGUUCUAAACCGUGCAGGCCUGCCCUGCCCUUUCUACACCCCUACUUACAAGGUUCUAUAUGAUAUGGAGCUGUAAUGAUACUCAACAAACAUACAAAAUCCAAGAAUGCUCAAAAGAGCUAGAUUGUAGAGUUACCUAAAGAAAUCCCUCCACAGAAGCUCAUACAUCAACCAGUUCAUGCCAGUAUCUGAUGAGCUACUACCAGCAUCUUUCUUGUUGAAGGCAGCAGAGAUUACACUGAAAAUCACAGGCAUUUAUUAAAUUGAGGAAGCACGUAUCCGCCUCAGGGGAACUUGUAAAAGAAGAGGAAACAAAAUGAGUUACUUUAGCAUAACCGAAGUACUUAAGCUCAUCAAACAUGGAGAGUGGAGAAAGGCAUCCCAUAGCAAGCCAUGGGGAGAUUUUGCAAGAAAAGUUUGCACCAAAUAUGCUCUCGUUGGCCCUAUUCUCGGAUCCCUUGAGUGGUUUUCCUUUGCGUUUGCCUGCAAAUUUUCUCAGCCUCUACAAUGCUUCAGUCUCUCCCCCCAUAGAAGAAGCAUCAACAGCUGUUUUUCCAUUCUAUAAAAUGAGAAAAUAUAAUGUUAAUUUAAAGGAAAAAUAGAUAAAACUUCCUCCUCGUAGUUACACGUCUCAUCUCAAAGCUUAAGCUCUCAGAGAAGUGACAAAUUUAUUGAUUAAAAUUGUUUUUAUAAUGCCCUUGCACUUGUAGACCAAAUUUAUUUUUUAAUCGAAGGCUUUUCAUAAAUGAGUGGCAAUGAGACUUGAACUUAAGAUAUUAUGUUGAACUGUCUCAUCUAAAAUCUUGAGCUCUUAGAAAAUGGCCAUAGUGAAUCAGGUUUUAACAAUAUUAAUGCAAGGCUGGAAUAUACAAUGAUCUUGAUUUUGAUACAUUUUAAAGACAAUCAAAAACAGCAUGAGGACUCCUUUGGUGGACUAUUAUGUAAGGAGAUCCUACUAGGGAAGUUAGGAUCAGUUCUUUUGUGUAGCCCGAAAUGAUACAAUGCUUCAAAAUAAUUACCACCCAUGACAAAACAAACACAUUGCUUAACCCUCUGUCAAAAACUUCUCUUCAUUGUGUCGCCAUGAAAUACGUAUAAUGGUUCUUUCAAAUUCAUAAAGCAGUACAUAAACCGAUAGGAACUAAGAAGAGCGAUGGUUACAGCAACACUCAACAACUCUUAAGUUCUAGUCACUUCUGCCCCUUCUUUCACUACUUUAUAGCUUUAAAUGAAUAAGCUUUGCACUUAUUUGAUAAUCAGUACAAACUAAAAUAAAUGGUGCAAAUGGCAUCACUCGACAACUCGUCCAGGUUCUAGAAGUUUCACAGCUUCCCCUGCCCCUCUUUCACUACUACACGUCUUUACACUACCAUAUCAACAAUUCUAACAAAAAACAAAACCUUACUCAACAAAUUUGGGCCGGCUAUAUGAAUCCAUUUUUACCACCAUUCAAUUCACGCUAAAUCUAUGGAAGAUUCAAGCAUCUAUAUCUUUAGCAACCACAACUAGCCCAUGUUAGUUUUUUGGUCAAAGUGCAUCAAAAAUGCCCAAAUGGGAAACACAUGAAGCCUAAGUGAAAGGUUGUGGCACAAUGAUGCAAUUGUGUGAGUUCACCAACUGACUUUUCUUUAUUGAUUUUAAAGUGUUAGCCGGUCCUUUAAAAACGCAAUUUCAAUUUAUAAAAUCGUGUUUCUUCUAAUGGAAGCUCAUGAUGAUGCCAUGUGUCAACCCCGUGUCCAUUGGAUGGCUGACCAUUUGGUGAGUCAUAUAAAAGGGAGUCAUAGGGUUGAGACGCGUGAUUUUUUCUGGUUUUCUAGAGCCUUCUCUCUACACUUUGACCGUUCGAGUUCAUCUUCUUCUUCUCUCUGAAAAUUAAAGAUCCUAUUUGAUUUUCAACACUUUCUCAAAUUUGAUUUUGUAAUCUUGAGUGAUUCUUUCUGAGAAGUGUUGUGAGUUCUUGUGUGAACCAAUUUUUCUGAAGUGAGAAGAUCGAAUCUUCUGUGAUCUUGGGUGAUUCUGGUCUGAGUGCGAAAACAUCCAAAUUUCUAAGCCUUGGUGUGUGAUCAACACUCGCAGUGGACUUCCUGGAGAAAACAACACAUAUAUUUUGCGAGAUUCCUCGAAUUGUUACUGCCUCAGGGCAUUUUAAUGAGAUCCCUUUUUUCUUGUGUUUCAAUCUUUUAUACUGCGCAUUUUAUUUUUGUUAAAUCUAAUAUUGUUGGAACCUCCUCUUUACACUAAGUAUAAAAAAUGCCUUCAAGAACCGAACGAGAAUCGUUCAUAGCAAUUUAUGAGCGACAAUUGUGAAUUCGUAUAAGCUCAUACAUUUCAUGACAUUCAUUGAAACUCUUCGCUACUAGAUCAGAAAACUAAAAGCAUCUAAUUCAUUCAAAUAGAAUAAAGAAAUAAUAGAGCAAACUAAAAGUCAUACAUGAACCAUAUUCGCAUUCGGGUUAAGACCCAAAUCCAACAAUGAUGGUAUCUCCCCAGGCUUCACACCCUCUCUGGCCGGCAAUCCUCUCAUCUGAUCAUUGCCUCAAUCGUCUUCCUCACCUCCAAUCCCUUCACUUUCUCCUUAAAACCUCCAUAAUUUGUAGGCGUUUCCUCCAACUUAACUGGCAAAUCCUCCAAAUGGUGUAAUGUGCUUCCCGAGAAGGACUUCACCUCCAGUGCCUCAUCCUUCAUCACAGUCUCUAUCUUUUCCUCGGCAUUCACCCAGUGGCGGCCCUAACUAUAGGCGAAGUAGGCGAUCGAGGCCCCCGCUUUGACAAGGUCCCAAAUUCUGUAAGAUUAAUUUGCUAGUCGAAGAAAAACGAAAAUUAUAUUAGUGAAAUUAUUUAAAAUAGAAUUGUCAUAUGUAAAAACAAGAAAUUAAUAAAAAAUGCAAAUUAAAAAAAAACGUAUAAAUGACAUAAAACUUAUACUUACAUUUAUUUAUUGUAUAAAUAUACCAUAAUCAUAACUUUCUCUCUAUAUAACUAAUUUGACCAUUUAUCUUUCAAACAUCCCUUUUCUUAUUCUUAAUAGACAAAAAGUCUUUUUUGUCUCUUCAAAUUCCAUUCUGACAGUCACUUGCCAUUAAUUUUUUUAAACCCAACAUAAAAUUAAUUCUUUCUUUGAAUUAAACUUUUGAAGUUAUUAGCAUACGGGUCUUCUCUCACUGCCAUUGCCUUUUUCUUUAACAAAAUUCGGUAAUCACUAAUCAGAUUUCAAAACUUAAUGUUUUUCAAUUCAUUUACAAAUUGUUUAUGCACAAUCAAAAUAGCAUGCUAGUAUGUCAUCAAAUGCCCGAAGAAUAGAUUAUAUAUGUAUUCAUAAUCCUAUCUACCAUUUUUGUCUCACUUUUUUUUUCUUUCCACACAGCAUUAUUAGAGGCAUCACUCAUCAGCAAACGGCAAAUCUAGAGGCUGCAGCCAUCUCUUAAGCGCACACAAUAAAGAAAAAAUGGCAUGAAAAUGAAUGGAGUUCUUAUCGUUCCUCUAAGUGAAAUCUUUUACCAGGUUUUAUUAUUUCUCAACUAAUUUAAAGUUUAAUCUUGUUUAGUUGUAUUGAUUUUUUUUGUUGUAUUGCUUUAAUAGUGGCAGCCCUGACUAUAGGCGAAAUAGGCGAUCGCCUAAGGCCCCGCUUUGAUGAGGGCCCCAAAUUCUGUAAGAUUAAUGGCUAGUCGAAGAAAAACGAAAAUUAUAUUAGUGAAAUUAUUUAAAAUAGAAUUGUCAUAUGCAAACACAAGAAAUUAAUAAAAAAUAAAAAUGCAAAUUUAAAAAAAAAAUAUAUAAAUGACACAAAAUUUAUACUUACAUUUAUUUAUUGUAUAAAUAUAUCAUAAUCAUAACUUUCUUUCUCUAUAUAACUAAUUUGACCAUUUAUCUUCCAAACAUCCCAUUUUUCUUUUCUGAAUAGACAAAAAGUCUUUUUUGUCUCUUCAAAUUUCAUUCCAACAGUCACUUACCAUUAAUUUUUUUAAACCCAACAUAAAAUUAAUUCUCUCUUUGAAUUAAAGUUUUGAAGAUAUUAGCAUACAGGUCUUCUCUCACUGCCAUUGCCUUUUUCUUUAACAAAAUCCGGUAAUCACUAAUCAGAUUUCAAAACUUAAUGUUUUUCAAUUCAUUGACAAAUUGUUUAUGCACAAUCAAAAUAGCAGGCUAGCAUGUCAUUAAAUGCCCAAAGAAUGGAUUAUAUAUGUGAAUAAUUAUAUCUACCAUUUUUGUCUCUAUUUUUUUUUCUUUCCACACAGCAUGAUUGGAGGCAUCACUCAUCAGCAAACGGCAAACCUGGAGGCUGCGGCCAUCUCUUAAGCGCACACAAUAAAGAAAAAAUGGCAUGGAAAUGAAUGGAGUUCUUAUCGUUCCUUUAAGUGAAAUCUUUUACCUGGUUUUAUUGUUUCUCAACUAAUUUAAAGUUUAAUCUUGUAUAGUUGUAUUGAUUUUGUUUUGUUGUAUUGCUUUAAUAUGUCUACUAAAAAGUAUUUGUUUGGACAUGAAAAAAGAAAAAAGAAAAAAAAAUCUGAAGAAUUUAUUCAAUCUCAAGUAGUAGCUAUGGACAAAUUUCUUGGUAGUAAUAUUAAUAAUAAAAGAGAAAGUCCGAUGAAAAAUUUGGUUGAUGAAGAAUUUGAAAAUGAAAAGUUUCAAAGUGAAGAUAAUAUGAAUAGAAAGCAUGAAAUUUCUGUGGAUCACGAGCAAGAAAAUUUGGAGGAAAUUGAAAAAUGUGUACCUUUGCAUUUCGACAUUAAUGAUCCGGGAAAUUGAAAAACUAUUGAUCAAAGCUUGAUCGACUUGUUAGUGAAAAGAGGCCCCCUUAGGCAGAAUGGUUUUGUUUUUCCAAAAGAUUAAGAAAAUAGACAUUUCUCUUCUACAUAUUAUAUUCGGCAUUUUGCAAAUGGUGAGAAAAGUGAUAGAAAAUGGUUGGUCUACUCAACUUCAUUGGAUAAAUUAUUUUGCUUUUGUUAUAAAUUGUUUAAGCAAGAAGGAAACAAUAUUCAAUUAGCUAAUGAAGGAAUCAAUGAUUGAAAAAAUCUUAGUUUCUGACUUAAAAGUCAUGAAACUGGUAAUGGACACAUGCAUAACAUGAGAAGAUGGAUUGAAUUGGAAAGGAGAUUACAACAGAAUCUAACAACUGAUAAAUCUAUGCAAGAUCUAAUCAACGAAGAUAGAGAACAUUGGAGAGAAGUUUUGUGAGGAUAAUUUCUAUUGUUGGCUUUCUAUGCAAGAAUAAUCUGGCAUUCAGGGGACUAAUGAGAAAAUUUAUGAAAAAGAUAAUGAGAAUUUUUCAGGUCUAAUUGAAAUGAUUGCAGAGUUCGAUCCAAUUUUGAGGGAACACAUCCAUUAUGUUCAAGAAAAAGAAAUCCAUUAUCAUUAUCUUAGUCACAAAAUUCAAAAUGAAUUCAUACUCAUGCUGGCUAGAGAAAUUAAAAGUGUAAUCAUUCAAAAUGUUAGAUGAGCAAAAUAUUUUUUAGUUAUACUUGAUCGUACACCAGAUAUAAGUCAUGAAGAACAAAUGUCACUCAUAACACGUUAUGUAGAUGUCAUAGCAACUCCAGCAAUUUUUUUGGGAAAGAGAUAUAUAAAAUGAGAGGGAAGAACAGUGAAAACUGAUGGCGAAAUUGAAGCUAUAGGAAUAGAAGAAAUUUGGGUUGGAUUUUGCUCCUGUGAAGGAGCUUGAUAUACAAGUUUUCCGUAUAAAUUUGGAGUGCAGUUAAUUAAUGGUGACUCAACUUUGGUUACUACUUAGUCUCCAAAAUUUAAAAGAUUACUCUUUAUUCACUAGACUCUGUUAUAGGUGAGGACUUGCUCAUCAAAAUUUAAAGAGUUACUUAUUGCUCAUUCAAAUUUGAAUGAAGUUACCGAUCGUGUUACUUAUUAUAAAAUUAAGUGAACAACAAGUAACUUUAUUUAAAUUUAAAUGAAUAAUAAAUAACCUUUAAAUUUUGAUGAGUAAAUAAUAACCUAUAGAAAUUUUGAGUGAGCAACGAGUAAUAUUUUAAAGAUCAGUAAGCAAGUAGUAACUUAUACUAAAUUUCAGCGAACAUUCAUUAUAAUUAUCUCUAUAAAUUUGGAUUUUGGAAUCCAUUUUUGUUGAACAGAGAAGAUGAAGAUAAGAGCAUUUCCAACCAUCCCAUUGUACCAUAAUUGAACCAAAUUUUUGGUGCAAAUCUCCUCGACCCAUUGUACCAUUUUGGUGCAAAUGAAUAGUAAAAUACCUUGUUACCACUCUAUUUUACUUUGCACCGAUUUUUUUAAGGGUAUAUUUAUCCAUUUCUUAUACAAAAUUUAUUAUUAUUAUUAUUAUUAUUAUUAUUAUUAUUAUUAUUAUUAUUAUUGUGUGCAUUUGUGAUAUUACAAUUCGAAACGUACUUAACUCUUUUUUAUUAUUAUGAUUUAGUAUUUUCUUAGUUGUUGUGUCUCUAUUAAUUGUACUACAUUUUUCUAAAUUUAUUAAUGAAUUCAAUAUUUUUGUUAACUAAAAAUAAUAAUUUAUUUAGUAAUAAAAUAAGUAAAUUAUCAAUAAUAAAAUAAAUAAAUUAUCAAGAAUUAAAAAAAUGAAGAAAAUUAUUAAACACUAUUCACUUGG